This 502-nucleotide ribosomal RNA is filed under the name uncultured bacterium. Its description in RNAcentral is "bacterial SSU rRNA". It matches the Rfam family "Bacterial small subunit ribosomal RNA", at positions 28 to 489 of the family's 1533-position model. The record is from RNAcentral.
GACGAACGCUGGCGGCGUGCCUAAUACAUGCAAGUCGAACGCACUCUCGUUUAGAUUGAAGGAGCUUGCUCCUGAUUGAUAAGCAUUUGAGUGAGUGGCGGACGGGUGAGUAACACGUGGGUAACCUGCCCUAAAGUGGGGGAUAACAUUUGGAAACAGAUGCUAAUACCGCAUAAAACCUAGCACCGCAUGGUGCAGGGUUGAAAGAUGGUUUCGGCUAUCACUUUAGGAUGGACCCGCGGUGCAUUAGUUAGUUGGUGAGGUAAAGGCUCACCAAGACCGUGAUGCAUAGCCGACCUGAGAGGGUAAUCGGCCACACUGGGACUGAGACACGGCCCAGACUCCUACGGGAGGCAGCAGUAGGGAAUCUUCCACAAUGGACGAAAGUCUGAUGGAGCAACGCCGCGUGAGUGAAGAAGGUUUUCGGAUCGUAAAACUCUGUUGUUGGAGAAGAAUGUAUCUGAUAGUAACUGAUCAGGUAGUGACGGUAUCCAACCAGAAA